CAGAGGGUGCAAGCGUUGUUCGGAAUUAUUGGGCGUAAAGCGCGUGUAGGCGGCUAUGCAAGUCGGGUGUGAAAGCCCUGGGCUCAACUCAGGAAGCGCGCCCGAAACUGCAUUGCUUGAGUACCGGAGAGGGUCGCGGAAUUCCCCAAGUAGAGGUGAAAUUCGUAGAUAUGGGGAGGAACACCGGUGGCGAAGGCGGCGACCUGGACGGAUACUGACGCUGAGACGCGAAAGCGUGGGUAGCAAACAGGAUUAGAUACCCUGGUAGUCCACGCUGUAAACGAUGAGAACUAGGUGUCGUGGGUGUUGACCCCCGCGGUGCCGUAGCUAACGCAUUAAGUUCUCCGCCUGGGAAGUACGGUCGCAAGACUA
This 372-nucleotide ribosomal RNA is filed under the name uncultured organism. RNAcentral's name for it is "bacterial SSU rRNA". It matches the Rfam family "Bacterial small subunit ribosomal RNA", at positions 526 to 896 of the family's 1533-position model. The record is from RNAcentral.